This 1881-nucleotide long non-coding RNA is filed under the name Echeneis naucrates (live sharksucker). RNAcentral's name for it is "lncRNA (ENSENLG00000000188.1)". Lineage: Eukaryota; Metazoa; Chordata; Actinopteri; Carangiformes; Echeneidae. The record is from RNAcentral.
CAUUUCCCGCCAAUCAGCCCACAUAGAUUCCCUCCUCGGACUUUUCUUCAGUGCCGAAGUAUCCUGUCUGUUCUUGUUGUUCCUGCUGCUCUCGUUCACUGUUUUUGUUCAUGUUUUAUUUCUUAUUAUUAUCGUGUCUUUUCUCUGCCUCCGUUCAGGUUCUCCGGUGUCUCUCAGUCAGCCUCUCUCUUGGUUCCCUGUUUGUUUAGUCUCGCCUUUUGUUAUCUCUCUCUCUUGUUACUUUGUUAGUUUUUCAGAAAGUCGAGCUCAGUCUGUGUUUCCUCUUUUUGUUGGACUUUUGUAUCCCUACCGGACUAUUUCUGUCGGACUCGGUUUUACCGGAUCUGUUUCUCCAUCUCCACCUCGCUGACUAACAGCAGCAGUACAACAACAAACCAAAAACAGGUUGGAGCGGUUUUAAUGUUUUAUACUUUGGACUCUGAAGUUAUGAGGGUGUAACUUUUCCUCAGCUCAAACAGACACCAGGACUGAUGAGGGAGAACAAGCAGCUUCUUCUCUUCACAUGAAGCUGGAAAGUGUCAGAAAGUCUCCCUGAAGUGAGUUCAGCAGAUCACUGACAGAUCAGACUGAUUUGUGUAUGAAGUUGUGGAGGCACAGUAUUUAAUUUGUCAAAGGAAACAAAUGUUUAAGAUGCAUCCUGAACAUCAGAUGAGAGAACCACAUCCUCUGGUCUGGGGUUUCCUGACAGGUGGAGGCUCAGCUAUGAAUCAGUGUGAGGACAGAGAGGAGGGAGCCCCUCCCUCUAAAACCACUCUGUGUGGGGAACAUGAGAGUCAGACCAAAGCUCAGAGGGAGCUCAACCAACAUUUGAAGAUAUUUAACCAGAAGUCAAGACCAGAUUCUCCUGAACUGAGCUAUGUGUCCAUGAAGAGGGAUUGGUCUAUGGGUCAUCCUACGAACUUUAAGGGAGGACAACAGUCUGCUGUAUCCAGAAGUGUGUCCAUGAAGAGUGAUCAGUCUAUGAUUCAACCUAUUGCAUUUAAGGGAGGACAACAGUCUGCUGUAUCCAGCUGUGUGUCCAUGAAGAGUGAUCAGUCUAUGAUUCAACCUAUUGCAUUUAAGGGAGGACAACAGUCUGCUGUAUCCAGAAGUGUGUCCAUGAAGAGUGAUCAGUCUAUGAUUCAACCUAUUGCAUUUAAGGGAGGACAACAGUCUGCUGUAUCCAGAAGUGUGUCCAUGAAGAGUGAUCAGUCUAUGAUUCAACCUAUUGCAUUUAAGGGAGGACAACAGUCUGCUGUAUCCAGAAGUGUGUCCAUGAAGAGUGAUCAGUCUAUGAUUCAACCUAUUGCAUUUAAGGGAGGACAACAGUCUGCUGUAUCCAGCUGUGUGUCCAUGAAGAGUGAUCAGUCUAUGAUUCAACCUAUUGCAUUUAAGGGAGGACAACAGUCUGCUGUAUCAAGCUGUGUGUCCAUGAAGAGUGAUCGGUCUAUGAUUCAACCUAUUGCAUUUAAGGGAGGACAACAGUCUGCUGUAUCCAGAAGUGUGUCCAUGAAGAGUGAUCGGUCUAUGACUCAACCUAUUGCAUUUAAGGGAGGACAACAGUCUGCUGUAUCAAGCUGUGUGUCCAUGAAGAGUGAUCAGUCUAUGAUUCAACCUAUUGCAUUUAAGGGAGGACAACAGUCUGCUGUAUCCAGAAGUGUGUCCAUGAAGAGUGAUCAGUCUAUGAUUCAACCUAUUGCAUUUAAGGGAAGACAACAGUCUGCUGUAUCCAGAAGUGUGUCCAUGAAGAGUGAUCAGUCUGUGGAUGACUUUAUCAAAGAAAAAAGGUAAAAGCUGAUCAUUUGUUGUUGUUUGACUCAUUAAAGGUAUCAAAGCUUGUCUAUCAGUUUCUCUGGUGUUCAUAGAAAACUCCUGGAACAA